Schistosoma mansoni is the source of this 45-nucleotide non-coding RNA. The record is from Rfam. Lineage: Eukaryota; Metazoa; Platyhelminthes; Trematoda; Strigeidida; Schistosomatidae.
AUUCAGCUGACGAAUCCCAAAUAAGACUAAACGCGCGUCCUGGAU